AGGUACCAGAAGGAAGAAGGCGAACUCGGUUCCUGAUUUUCGUGGAGCUAAUGCUCUGGUAGGGAGCACACAUUGAAUAAAUAAUUGCGGGAAACAUUAAUUUGUUCUAAAUGAGAUAUAUGCUGCAAAGGACAACAGAGGCUGCUGGGAGAGGGUGUCAGCAGGGAACCAGCUGAAGUCGUCAACUGAAUCUUCGCCACAACUUUGCUGCAUGUCCACCCUGAUGCUAUCUUCUCUCCUCUUGCUGCUGCAAACCGAUACAAGUCAUAGCCCCAAGGAACAGAUGAGUCAGUGCUUGCAAGGCUGCACGUCCCCAGGUGAGAUUGGUUUUCUCUUCUGAGCUUUGGAUGUGAAUGUUCAACUACCUACUGAACACAUGGAGGAGGGAGGAGCAAUUCCCAAAAAGGAAGUGAUGCAGCUUCACCCUCCCACCCUUGACCCCAGCCCCACCCCAAGUCGCUGGAAGGAUGCCCGGCACGCGUAUAGUGGGUGCUCUCCAAAUAUGUGACGAAUAUGAACAGAACAGGAAGGAAGGAGAACUGUCACCUGGACUCCAUCUGUUGGAGUUGAAGACACUGUUCGCUGUGCUGACUGCUGUCUGUUGAGGCCCUUCAGUGACUUGGGUAGAUCGAGUGUGGUGAUAAGGUUGGCAUGUUCAUAACAGAUAAGCCAUAGACGUGGGUACUCACAUCAACUCUGGCAACCCCCUCCCCAUCCCACAUACACCACAAGCUCCGGAUAUGAAAAAACUACUCUCUCAGUGGAGCAAGAGGCUCCAAAUCUCACCUGCCUGAGUCUGCCUCAUUGCAAACCUGAUGCCAUGAUUUGGGGCUCAUUUGGGUUAUGUGGGAGUGAUCUCUAGGGGUGUAAGGCCAUUGAUAAAUGUGCCUGUGUCUUUUUAUUUUUUGUGAGGAAGAUUGGCGCUGAGCUAACAUCUGUUGUCCAUCUUCCUCUUUUUGCUUGAGGAAGACUGUUGAUGAGCUAACAUCUGUGCCAGUCUUCCUCUAUUUUACGUGGGAUGCCACCACAGCAUGGCCUGACAAGCAGUGCUAGCUCUGCACCCAGGAUCCAAACCUGCGAACCCUGGGCUGCUGAAGCAGAGCACGUGAACCCGACCGCUAUGCCACCAGGCUGGCCCGCCAUCUGUGUCUUUUUAUGAGGCUGGUGCUCUCACUGGGUAUGUGGGUAUUGAAUGGACAUUUCUGAGACAGUGCUCAAUAAGCCCAGGUUUGACCACAGUCUUACCUCUGGAAAGGUCAUCUUAUCUUUUUUUUUCUUGGCAGCAUUCUCUCUGUGGUCACAGAAGACCUCCGAGACCAUGUGGGAAAGAGGGGCUGGUUGGUUCACUGACACUGAGAGAGAUUAUCCCCCAUCAUCAAAAAGACUUUAUGGUGCAUAUUAUAAAAUUUUAAGACUCUCAGGGAAUAUUAUGAUGUUUCCUUUUAGAAAAAUAUAUCUGAAACAGCCUAAAUGUCCAUCAACAGGGUAAUGGAUAAACCAAAUGUGGUGUGUACAUAUAGUGGAAUAUUAUCCAGCCUUAAAAAGGAAUGAAAUUCUGAUACAUGCUACAACAUGGGCAAACUUUGAAGACAUUAUACUAAGUAAAACAGGACAGACACAAAGGAACAAAUAUUGUACAAUUCCAUUGAUGUGCGCUACUCAGAAUAGUCAAAGUCGUACAGACAGAACGGACAAUGGUGGUUCCCAGGAGCUGCGGGCGGUGGGGAAUGGUGGUUAUUGUUGGAUGGGUACAGGUUUCGGCUGGGGAUAAUGGAAGAGGUCUGGAGAUGGGUGGGGGUGCUGAUUGCACAACAAUGUGAAUGUACUUCAUGGCACUGGGCUGUAUACUUUAAAAGGGUUAAAAUGGUAAACUUUAUGUUAUGUACAUUUACUGCAAGAAAAAUUGUAUAUCUGAAUCUCUUUUCAAAGGUAUCCUCUACUUGUCUGCUCUUGCUCCAUCAGGUUUCGGAAAUUUUAGUUGAAUUGCUUUUUAAAUAUGUGCUAUAAAUUUGUUUUCUUCAGAGCGCCAGUUGGUCUGAGAACAAUCUCAGGAAAAGGAGUGUGUGGGUAUGUAUGUGUGUGUGUGCAUGUGUUGGAGUGUACGUGUGUGCAUGCGUGUGUGUGUGCAUGCGUGUGCAUGUGUGUGUGUGAGGGGCUCUAGGUUAUAACCCUGGGUGUAAAAGAGCACCUGAGGUGGAGAAGACACCCAGUGGCUGGCCUCUCUCUUGGUUUCUUCCGCAUGGAGGCUUUGUGGAAAAUUGCAAAGGUCCUGUUUCACCAAAUGCAAAGUUUAAGGCACAAAUGUACCAAACUUUGUACGUUUUAAGUGUAAGACUUCAGGCAAAAGCAGGUGUACGAGCAUUUGUCACCCAUAUGAUUGUGGAAGUGACAUUCAUCCGUUCCAGAAAUAUUUAUGAGCGCAUGAUGUGUCAGGUGCUGGGGAAAAAAUGAAUUCAGCAUAACCGCUCAAAUUCCUAUAAGUAGGACUGGCUACAUAAUGUGUGGGGCCCAGUGCAAAAUGAAAAUGCAGAGCCUAUUAGAAAUUAUGAAAAAUUUCAAGGCGACGACAGCAGAGCGUUAAGCCAAGCACGGGGCCCUUCUGAGCGUGGGAGUGGGGGCUGCGAGAGGCUGUAACUGCAGAGGGCUGGAGCCCAUGAAGCCAGGCCGUGGGAUGGUGACAUGAAUGCUCCAAUCAGCCACUGGGGGAGCUGGGCCCAGGGCAGCAGUGGCUCCUCAUUGCAUCUCACUUGAAGUAAAUCUCUUUUAUCUUUUAACACACAUUUGAACACCCAUCUAUAGCACCGUUCAAUAAACAUUCUUGUGCUAAUAUCUUCCUUUUAAUCAGAUUACCAUCUUGUCAUUGGAUUUUCAGAUCUCCAGCUCUACCCCCACCCCUCCGCCAACAGGCAGUAGCAUGCUGGAUAAAUAGCAGCUCACCUCUGACCACCCAGCUCGAGACAACAGACUGCCACCCUGCUGCGUUCACUGAGAAAGAAGCCCUACCUGCUGUUUCCAUCAAUCGCUGUGCUGACAGAGCAGUCUCGCGACUAUUGUGAAAGGGACAUUUCAAUCCUAUGUGAAACAUCCUCUCUGGGGGUAUAUAACCACUCUGUGCACCCCACUUCUUUGGUGCCCUUUCUUCCUUUGGGAAGAAGGGCCCCGGGCCAUGGUCCUCAGAUUUCAGCUCAG
Molecule: long non-coding RNA, 3189 nt
Filed under: Equus caballus (horse)
Lineage: Eukaryota; Metazoa; Chordata; Mammalia; Perissodactyla; Equidae
Description: lncRNA (ENSECAG00000060130.1)
Source: RNAcentral